This 492-nucleotide ribosomal RNA is filed under the name uncultured bacterium. RNAcentral's name for it is "partial 16S ribosomal RNA". It matches the Rfam family "Bacterial small subunit ribosomal RNA", at positions 29 to 507 of the family's 1533-position model. The record is from RNAcentral.
AAUGAACGCUGGCGGCAUGCCUAACACAUGCAAGUCGAACGGCAGCACAGUAAGAUUUUGCUCUUACGGGUGGCGGGUGGCGGACGUGUGACGAAUACAUCGGAUUCUUCUUUUUCGGGGGUGAUAACGUAGGGCAAGUUACGCUAAUACCGCAUAUGUCGCACGGGGGAAAGCAGGGGAUCUUCGCACCUUUUGCGAUUGUAUUAGCCGAUGUCGGAUUAGCUAGUUGGCUGGGUAAAGGCCCACCAAGGCGACGAUGCGUAGCUGAUCUGAGAGGAUGAUCAGCCACACUGGAACUGAGACACGGUCCAGACUCCUACGGGAGGCAGCAGUAGGGAAUAUUGGGCAAUGGGCGCAAGCCUGAUCCAGCAAUACCGCGUGAGUGAAGAAGGCCUUCGGGUCGUAAAGCUCUUUUAUUGGGAAAGAACAGCAGCCGGUUAAACCCCGGCUGUUCUGACGGUACCCAAUGAAAAAGCACCGGCUAACUUCGUG